This 225-nucleotide long non-coding RNA is filed under the name Helianthus annuus (common sunflower). Its description in RNAcentral is "sRNA HanXRQr2_Chr03g0094441". The record is from RNAcentral. Lineage: Eukaryota; Viridiplantae; Streptophyta; Magnoliopsida; Asterales; Asteraceae.
UCUUAAAUGGAUGUAAAUUGCCACCUCUACUUACGACAAUGAUGUUGAAAUGUUACUUACCAGUAGUUCCGGUUAGAUGUAUCAGGUACUGUUGACCCUUUAGCGUUGCUGGAGAAGAUAUCAAAGAAUGGAAUAUCACAAGAUGUUUGGCGAAGAAGAACCGGUCUAUAACCGUCGGGUCAUGGAAUCUGCACAACAAGUUGGUAGAAUGUCAAUGCAAUAGAC